This 345-nucleotide unclassified non-coding RNA is filed under the name soil metagenome. Its description in RNAcentral is "partial contains 5.8S ribosomal RNA, internal transcribed spacer 2, and large subunit ribosomal RNA". The stretch from base 1 to 120 matches the Rfam family "5.8S ribosomal RNA", at positions 35 to 154 of the family's 154-position model. The record is from RNAcentral.
GAUGAAGAACGUAGUGAAAUGCGAUACGUAAUGUGAAUUGCAGAAUUCAGUGAAUCAUCGAGUCUUUGAACGCACAUUGCGCCCCCUGGUAUUCCGGGGGGCAUGCCUGUCCGAGCGUCAUUGCUGCCCUCAAGCACGGCUUGUGUGUUGGGCCUCCGUCCUCCUCCCGGGGGACGGGCCCGAAAGGCAGCGGCGGCACCGCGUCCGGUCCUCGAGCGUAUGGGGCUUCGUCACCCGCUCUUGUAGGCCCGGCCGGCGCUUGCCGACACAUCAAUCUUUUUUCCAGGUUGACCUCGGAUCAAGUAGGGAUACCCGCUGAACUUAAGCAUAUCAAUAAGCGGAGGA